CGAACGCUGGCGGCGUGCUUAACACAUGCAAAUCGCACGGUGAAGCGCUUGCCUUUUUGGUGGGUGUGGAUGAGUGGCGAACGGGUGAGUAACACGUGAGUAACCUGCCCUCUUCUUCUGGAUAACCUCAUGAAAGUGGGGCUAAUACGGGGUAUUCCGGGUCUGUCGCAUGGCGGGUUUGGGAAAGAUUGCGCCUUUGGGUGUUUUCGGUGGGGGAUGGGCUCGCGGCCUAUCAGCUUGUUGGUGGGGUGAUGGCCUACCAAGGCGGUGACGGGUAGCCGGCCUGAGAGGGUGGACGGCCACACUGGGACGGAGACACGGCCCAGACUCCGGCGGGAGGCAGCAGUGGGGAAUAUUGCACAAUGGGCGCAAGCCUGAUGCAGCGACGCCGCGUGAGGGAUGGAGGCCUUCGGGUGGUGAACCUCUUUCGCCAGUGAAGCAGGCCUGCUCCUGUGUGGGUGGGUUGACGGUAGCUGGAUAAGAAGCGCCGGCUAACUACGUG
This 502-nucleotide ribosomal RNA is filed under the name uncultured bacterium. RNAcentral describes it as "partial 16S ribosomal RNA". It matches the Rfam family "Bacterial small subunit ribosomal RNA", at positions 30 to 507 of the family's 1533-position model. The record is from RNAcentral.